AUGAUGGGCUGUUCCAAAACCAACCCCAAAUUGGUACUAGUAAACGAAAAACCCUAUACCAAAAAUUCAAACUUUCAACUAAAUAACCAAACCGACAACAACCCAGAUGAAAAAAAAAAAGUUUUUAUCAAAAGCUAUAUGAAAUGGGGCAAAAGGGUAUGAUCAAUAUUAAACAAAGAGAAGAAAGUAGAAAAACUAGAAGUGAAGUCAAACAAUGUGGCCUUAUGAAAACAAACGGAAAAAACAAAAACAAAGAGACAUCAAAGGUACAUUCAUCGUACUACGUCAUGAGGUUUAUGUUACGAGAAACAAAAACCCAGGUUGUUUUAUGA
Molecule: non-coding RNA, 332 nt
Organism: Vicia faba (fava bean)
Lineage: Eukaryota; Viridiplantae; Streptophyta; Magnoliopsida; Fabales; Fabaceae
Source: the annotation of a GenBank genome assembly